RNAcentral lists this ribosomal RNA (2398 nucleotides) under fermentation metagenome. Its description in RNAcentral is "bacterial LSU rRNA". It matches the Rfam family "Bacterial large subunit ribosomal RNA", at positions 14 to 2505 of the family's 2925-position model. The record is from RNAcentral.
AGAGCGCAAGGGGAAUGCCUUGGCACUGGGAGCCGACGAAGGACGCGACAAACUGCGAUAAGCUAUGGGGAGCCGUAAGUAGGCAUUGAGCCAUAGAUUUCCGAAUGGAGCAAUCCGACCGGAGUCAUGUCCGGUCAUCGUACACUGAAUAAAUAGGUGUACGAAGGGAACCGCCUGAACUGAAACAUCUAAGUAGGGCGAGGAAAAGACAUCAAUUGAGAUUCCGCCAGUAGUGGCGAGCGAACGCGGAAUAGGCCAAACCAAGAGUAGUAAUACUCUUGGGGUUCGGACAGCAAACGAUAUGCAUAUAUCUAACAGAAUGGUAUGGGAAGACCAACGAAACAGUGUGAGAGUCACGUAUGUGAAAGAUAGAAGCAGUCAGCUGUAUCCAGAGUACCGCCGGACACGAGAAACCCGACGGGAAUACGGGGGGACCACCCUCCAAGCCUAAAUACUACCCAGUGACCGAUAGUGAAGAGUACUGUGAAGGAAAGGUGAAAAGGACCCCGGAAGGGGAGUGAAAAAGAACCUGAAACCUUGUGCUUACAAGCACCGAGAGCCCGUCAAUGGGUGAUCGGGUACCUUUUGUAGAAUGGUCCGGCGAGUGAAUGUAGUUGGCGAGGUUAAGUCCUUAAGGGAUGGAGCCGCAGGGAAACCAAGUCUGAAUAGGGCGCAUGAAGUCAGUUAUAUUCGACCCGAAACCGGGUGACCUACCCAUGUCCAGGUUGAAGUGGAGGUAAAACUCCAUGGAGGACCGAACCGACUCCCGUUGAAAUGGUAGCGGAUGAGGUGUGGGUAGCGGAGAAAUUCCAAUCGAACCCGGAGAUAGCUGGUUCUCUCCGAAAUAGCUUUAGGGCUAGCCUUGUAUUAGAUUACCGGAGGUAAAGCACUGAAUGGUCUAGGGACCGAAAGGUUACUGAAACCUAUCAAACUAAGAAUGCCGGAUAAUUGAUGUACAGGAGUCAGACAGCGUGAGAUAAGUUUCGUUGUCGAAAGGGAAACAGCCCAGACCCACAGCUAAGGUCCCAAAAUAUGAUUAAGUGGAAAAGGAUGUGGGGUUGCACAGACAACCAGGAUGUUGGCUUAGAAGCAGCCAUACAUUGAAAGAGUGCGUAAUAGCUCACUGGUCGAGUGACCCUGCGCCGAAGAUUUAACGGGGCUAAAUCAUAUACCGAAGCUUGGGAUUCCGUAAGGGAUGGUAGGAGAGCGUUGAAUAAGGGGUGAAGUCAGAGCGAAAGCGCUGGUGGACAUUAUUCAAGUGAGAAUGCCGGAAUGAGUAGCGAGAAAUAUGUGAGAAUCAUAUUGGCCGAAAGUCUAAGGUUUUUGGAGGAAGGUUCGUCCGCUCCAAGUAAGUCGGGAGCUAAGGUGAGGCUGAGAAGCGUAGCCGAUGCACAUACGGUUGAAAUUCCGUAACCGCCGAAAGAUUUAAGUAAGAGGACACCUGAAAAGUGCAUAACCCGGGCGAUGGUAGCCCCGGGCGUAAGGGACCGAAAUUAAAGUAGGGAAGUAUGCAUGGAUUGGGGCAAGAAAAGUCUUAUGAAUAUCUAAGGCGCCCGUACCGCAAACCGACACAGGUAGAUAGGAAGAGAAUUCUAAGGCCAACGGGAGAAGGGUAGUUAAGGAACUCGGCAAAUUGACCCCGUAACUUAGGGAAAAGGGGUGCCACAGAAAUGUGGCCGCAGUGAAUAGGCCCAGGCGACUGUUUAGCAAAAACACAGGUCUCUGCCAAAUCGUAAGAUGAAGUAUAGGGGCUGACACCUGCCCGGUGCUGGAAGGUUAAGAGGAAAAGUGCAAGCUUUGAAUUGAAGCCCCAGUAAACGGCGGCCGUAACUAUAACGGUCCUAAGGUAGCGAAAUUCCUUGUCGGGUAAGUUCCGACCCGCACGAAUGGUGUAACGAUCUGAGCACUGUCUCAAUUACCCGCCCGGCGAAAUUGUAGUACCGGUGAAGAUGCCGGUUACCCGCGACAAGACGGAAAGACCCCAUGGAGCUUUACUGCAGUUUAAUAUUGGGUUUCGGUAAUUUAUGUACAGGAUAAGUGGGAGACUUGGAAACCAUGGCGCCAGCCGUGGUGGAGUCAAUGUUGGGAUACCACUCUUAAGUUGCUGAAAUUCUAACCUGCGGCCGUAAACCGGUCGGGGGACAUUGUUAGACGGGCAGUUUGACUGGGGCGGUCGCCUCCAAAAGAGUAACGGAGGCGCUCAAAGGUCAGCUCAGUACGGACGGAAACCGUGCAAUAGAGUGUAAACGCGUAAGCUGGCCUAACUGCGAGGGUGACGGCCCGAGCAGUAACGAAAGUUGGAGUUAGUGAUCCGGCGGUAUGAGAGUGGAAUUGCCGUCGCUCAACGGAUAAAAGCUACCCUGGGGAUAACAGGCUGAUCUCCCCCAAGAGUCCACAU